This 465-nucleotide ribosomal RNA is filed under the name uncultured Klebsiella sp. RNAcentral describes it as "bacterial SSU rRNA". It matches the Rfam family "Bacterial small subunit ribosomal RNA", at positions 338 to 795 of the family's 1533-position model. The record is from RNAcentral. Lineage: Bacteria; Pseudomonadati; Pseudomonadota; Gammaproteobacteria; Enterobacterales; Enterobacteriaceae.
CCUACGGGUGGCUGCAGUGGGGAAUAUUGCACAAUGGGCGCAAGCCUGAUGCAGCCAUGCCGCGUGUGUGAAGAAGGCCUUCGGGUUGUAAAGCACUUUCAGCGGGGAGGAAGGCGUUAAGGUUAAUAACCUUGUCGAUUGACGUUACCCGCAGCAGAAGCACCGGCUAACUCCGUGCCAGCAGCCGCGGUAAUACGGAGGGUGCAAGCGUUAAUCGGAAUUACUGGGCGUAAAGCGCGCGCAGGCGGUCUGUCAAGUCGGAUGUGAAAUCCCCGGGCUCAACCUGGGAACUGCAUUCGAAACUGGCAGGCUAGAGUCGUGUAGAGGGGGGUAGAAUUCCAGGUGUAGCGGUGAAAUGCGUAGAGAUCUGGAGGAAUACCGGUGGCGAAGGCGGCCCCCUGGACAAAGACUGACGCUCAGGUGCGAAAGCGUGGGGAGCAAACAGGAUUAGAUACCCUUGUAGUC